Long non-coding RNA from Lethenteron reissneri (Far Eastern brook lamprey), 333 nucleotides. RefSeq lists it as uncharacterized. The record is from RefSeq and is a predicted model, not a curated record. Lineage: Eukaryota; Metazoa; Chordata; Hyperoartia; Petromyzontiformes; Petromyzontidae.
AGGUCCCCGGCCUCCUUCUACCUGCAGCCCGACGAAGCGCUUGGAAAUUUCCUACCCACGCUGAAGGAAAUGCUGGAGGAGCGAUUUGGUGGGAAGCCUCGGCCGCUCUACCCCGAGCGGUCGCUCGCGCAGGGCGGCCGCGGCGCUGGCGUCUGGCACCGAUCUUGUCGAGGGCUCUGUACAGCACAAACCACUGCACCUGGGCCACGGCCCGAAUCCAAAGCCUCCGUUCUGACGGUCAGAUUCAGGCGGCGACUCUGGAGGAAAUGUCUCUCAUGAAAUUGUCUUUUCCGAGACCAAGGUUCUCUGCAAACCUCCCGGCUACCAUCAAAG